This 353-nucleotide ribosomal RNA is filed under the name uncultured bacterium. RNAcentral's name for it is "bacterial SSU rRNA". It matches the Rfam family "Bacterial small subunit ribosomal RNA", at positions 8 to 350 of the family's 1533-position model. The record is from RNAcentral.
AGAGUUUGAUCAUGGCUCAGGAUGAACGCUAGCUACAGGCUUAACACAUGCAAGUCGAGGGGCAGCAUGUUGGUUGCUUGCAACCAACGAUGGCGACCGGCGCACGGGUGAGUAACGCGUGUCCAACCUACCCUUGUCCAUCGGAUAACCCGUCGAAAGGCGGCCUAACACGAUAUGCGGUUCACGGCAGGCAUCUAAGGUGAACGAAAUGUGAAGGAGAAGGAUGGGGGAUGCGUCUGAUUAGCUUGUUGGCGGGGUAACGGCCCACCAAGGCUACGAUCAGUAGGGGUUCUGAGAGGAAGGUCCCCCCANAUUGGAACUGAAGACACGGUCCAAAACUCCUACGGGAGGCU